Long non-coding RNA from Homo sapiens (human), 453 nucleotides. The record is from Ensembl. NCBI's taxonomy places the organism in Eukaryota, Metazoa, Chordata, Mammalia, Primates, Hominidae.
GCGCCAGCCCCGGCCGCGCGCCCCGCGCCGCCUUUGUUCGCAGCCUGGGCCCCGCCGCCAGCCGCUGCUCGGAGGGAGCGAGCGAGAAAGGGGAGCCGGCGCAGCUCGCUGCCCUGUUCCAGAACUCAGAAUUUGAGAGGCGAGAGUUCGGUAAGCCGUGCGACCAGACGACCGAGGACGCGCGCAGAGAAACCCCCGCCGUCCGAGGAGAGGCGUCCUGGGGUUCCGUCCCAAGGUGGAGGUCCCCCCGAGCGGUUGCUGAUUGAAAGGGGAGUGUGGAAGCGCCCUGAGGAAACACCCGCCUGCCUUGAAAACUCCCCGUUCCUUAUUCUUGUAAUAAGGAAUAAGACACCCCACCCCCAUCGAAAACUUGUCCCUUAUUCAUAGAAUAAAUAAAACUUGAACCAGAAUAAACGAUCAGUAACUUUCCAGCGUGAACAGCUGGCGUGUCUC